UACGGAGGGUGCAAGCGUUAUCCGGAUUCACUGGGUUUAAAGGGUGCGUAGGUGGGUUGGUAAGUCAGUGGUGAAAUCUCCGAGCUUAACUUGGAAACUGCCAUUGAUACUAUCAAUCUUGAAUAUUGUGGAGGUCAGCGGAAUAUGUCAUGUAGCGGUGAAAUGCGUAGAGAUGACAUAGAACACCAAUUGCGAAGGCAGCUGGCUGCACAUAUAUUGACACUGAGGCACGAAAGCGUGGGGAUCAAACAGG
Molecule: ribosomal RNA, 253 nt
Filed under: uncultured bacterium
Lineage: Bacteria
Description: partial 16S ribosomal RNA
Rfam family: Bacterial small subunit ribosomal RNA
Source: RNAcentral